AUCAAUUUUUUAUUUUUUUUCAAAAAGUAGAGCCCUCAGAUCUCAUAGCUUCUAGAAUCACAGACGGCUAAUCCGGUGGGGAUCCAUCAGAGGCCUUGAACGCACCACCAUCACAACCAAGCAACCACGUGAAUGUGUGUGCCGUGUAUCUAUCUAUCAAUAGUAAAGAGUAGGAGGUGGAGGCGGUGGUGGUGGAGGUGGAGGUAGCUGAUUAUUCCAGUGAUGCGCGAAGGCCAACGAUGAAUCAAACACCACCAUGCCGCAUCAACGUAUUAAUUUUUCCAUCAUUGGGCAAAUUUUUAGAAAAACAAUCAAAUCCAAAGCGAAUUACAAAUUCAAAUAGACACAGGUGAGUGGCAACGGCGUGCAGUGCAGCCAAACUAGGGUUUUUAGAUCGAGAGGAGGAAGCGGAAAUAGGAUUUUAUAGACUUUUUGAUGGGUUUAAUCACUUAGUUGGGCUGUUGUAGAUAUUGAGAUUCCUUUAUAAUUGGGUCAAGCCCAAUAUUAUUCAUUCCAACAAGUAUUGACUUUUC
RNAcentral lists this long non-coding RNA (533 nucleotides) under Olea europaea (common olive). RNAcentral describes it as "long non-coding RNA (OEUR_LNC011833)". Lineage: Eukaryota; Viridiplantae; Streptophyta; Magnoliopsida; Lamiales; Oleaceae. The record is from RNAcentral.